AGAGGGUGCAAGCGUUAAUCGGAGUUACUGGGCGUAAAGGGCGCGUAGGCUGAUAUUUUAGUCGGAUGUGAAAUCCCUGGGCUUAACCUAGGAAUUGCAUUCGAUACUGAAUGUCUUGAGUAUGGUAGAGGAAAGUGGAAUUCUCGGUGUAGUGGUUAAAUACGUAGAUAUCGAGAAGAACAUCGCUGGCGAAGGCGACUUUCUGGGCCAAUACUGACGCUGAGGCGCGAAAGCGUGGGGAGCAAACAGGGAUUAGAUACCCUGGUAGUCCACGCUGUAAACGAUGAGAACUAGAUGUUGCGCAGUUAUUACUGUGCAGUAUCGCAGCUAACGCAUUAAGUUCUCCGCCUGGGGAGUACGGUCGCAAGAUUA
This 372-nucleotide ribosomal RNA is filed under the name uncultured organism. RNAcentral's name for it is "partial 16S ribosomal RNA". It matches the Rfam family "Bacterial small subunit ribosomal RNA", at positions 527 to 896 of the family's 1533-position model. The record is from RNAcentral.